AUACGGAGGAUGCAAGCGUUAUCCGGAUUUAUUGGGUUUAAAGGGUGCGUAGGCGGAUGAUUAAGCGUGAGGUGAAAUGCCACUGCUCAACAGUGGAACUGCCUCGCGAACUGGUUGUCUUGAAUGCUCCUGCCGUGGGAGGAAUGUGUGGUGUAGCGGUGAAAUGCAUAGAGAUCACACAGAACACCGAUUGCGAAGGCAUCUCACGAAGGGGUGAUUGACGCUGAGGCACGAAAGCGUGGGGAUCAAACAGGAUUAGAUACCCUGGUAGUCCACGCAGUAAACGAUGAUAACUAACCGCUGGGUCGUAGUGAUUCAGUGGCCAAGCGAAAGCGAUAAGUUAUCCACCUGGGGAGUACGACCGCAAGGUUGAAACUCAAAUGAAUUGGCGGGU
Molecule: ribosomal RNA, 394 nt
Filed under: uncultured bacterium
Lineage: Bacteria
Description: partial 16S ribosomal RNA
Rfam family: Bacterial small subunit ribosomal RNA
Source: RNAcentral